GAACGAGACCUUGGCCUCUAACUAGGGGGCGCAGCGGUAGCUACGCGACCUUCUUAGGGGGACUAUUGAUGUAAGUCGAUGGAAGUUCGAGACAAUAACAGGUCUGUGAUGCCCUUAGACGUUCUGGGCCGCACGCGCGCUACAUUGACGGAGGCAGCGAGUUGACCUUUGCCGAGAGGCAUGGGAAAUCUUGAAACUCCGUCGUGCUGGGGAUGGAGCAUUGCAAUUUUUGCUCUUCAACGAGGAAUUCCUAGUAAGCGCAAGUCAUCAGCUUGCGUUGAUUACGUCCCUGCCCUUUGUACACACCGCCCGUCGCUACUACCGAUUGAAUGGCUCGGCCCGUGCCCCGCCCCGCCCGCCGCGCGCGGCGGGGGA
RNAcentral lists this ribosomal RNA (375 nucleotides) under uncultured fungus. RNAcentral's name for it is "bacterial SSU rRNA". It matches the Rfam family "Eukaryotic small subunit ribosomal RNA", at positions 1333 to 1752 of the family's 1831-position model. The record is from RNAcentral. Lineage: Eukaryota; Fungi.